AGUGAACGCUGGCGGUAGGCCUAACACAUGCAAGUCGAACGGCAGCACAGUAAGAGCUUGCUCUUACGGGUGUCGAGUGGCGGACGGGUGAGGAAUACAUCGGAAUCUACUUUUUCGUGGGGGAUAACGUAGGGAAACUUACGCUAAUACCGCAUACGACCUACGGGUGAAUGCAGGGGAUCUUCGGACCUUGCGCGAUUGAAUGAGCCGAUGCCGGAUUAGCUAGUUGGCGGGGUAAAGGCCCACCAAGGCGACGAUCCGUAGCUGGUCUGAGAGGAUGAUCAGCCACACUGGAACUGAGACACGGUCCAGACUCCUACGGGAGGCAGCAGUGGGGAAUAUUGGACAAUGGGCGCAAGCCUGAUCCAGCCAUACCGCGUAGGUGAAGAAGGCCUUCGGGUUGUAAAGCCCUUUUGUUGGGAAAAAAGAGCAGCAGGUUAAUACCCCGCUGUUCUGACGGUACCCAAAGAAUAAGCACCGGCUAACUUCGUG
RNAcentral lists this ribosomal RNA (492 nucleotides) under uncultured bacterium. RNAcentral describes it as "partial 16S ribosomal RNA". It matches the Rfam family "Bacterial small subunit ribosomal RNA", at positions 29 to 507 of the family's 1533-position model. The record is from RNAcentral.